This 468-nucleotide ribosomal RNA is filed under the name uncultured bacterium. RNAcentral's name for it is "partial 16S ribosomal RNA". It matches the Rfam family "Bacterial small subunit ribosomal RNA", at positions 28 to 507 of the family's 1533-position model. The record is from RNAcentral.
GACGAACGCUGGCGGCGUGCUUAACACAUGCAAGUCGAACGGAAAGGCCCUGCUUUUGUGGGGUGCUCGAGUGGCGAACGGGGGAGUAACACGUGAGUAACCUGCCCUUGACUUUGGGAUAACUUCAGGAAACUGGGGCUAAUACCGGAUAGGAGCUCCUGCUGCAUGGUGGGGGUUGGAAAGUUUCGGCGGUUGGGGAUGGACUCGCGGCUUAUCAGCUUGUUGGUGGGGUAGUGGCUUACCAAGGCUUUGACGGGUAGCCGGCCUGAGAGGGUGACCGGCCACAUUGGGCCUGAGAUACGGCCCAGACUCCUACGGGAGGCAGCAGUGGAGAAUAUUACACAAUGGGCGGAAGCCUGAUGCAGCAGCGCCGCGUGCGGGAUGCCGGCCUUCGGGUUGUAAACCGCUUUCGCCUGUGACGAAGCGUGAGUGACGGUAAUGGGUAAAGAAGCACCGGCUAACUACGUG